RNAcentral lists this ribosomal RNA (406 nucleotides) under uncultured bacterium. RNAcentral's name for it is "partial 16S ribosomal RNA". It matches the Rfam family "Bacterial small subunit ribosomal RNA", at positions 30 to 526 of the family's 1533-position model. The record is from RNAcentral.
AUUGAACGCUGGCGGCAGGCCUAACACAUGCAAGUCGAACGAGUGGCGGACGGGUGAGUAAUGUCUGGGAAACUGCCUGAUGGAGGGGGCUAACUACUGGAAACGGUAGCUAAUACCGCAUACCAUCGGAUGUGCCCAUAUGGGAUUAGCUAGUAGGUGGGGUAAAGGCUCACCUCGGUGACGAUCCCUAGCUGGUCUGAUAGGAUGACCAGCCACCAUGGAACUUGGGCACGGUCCAGACGCCGACGGCAGGCAGCAGUGGGGAAUAUUGCACAAUGGGCGCAAGCCUGAUGUCGCCCUGCCGCGUGUAUGAAGAAGGCCUUCGGGUUGUAAAGUACUUUCAGCGGGGAGGCGUUACCCGCAGAAGAAGCACCGGCUAGCUCCGUGCCAGCAGCCGCGGUAAUAC